Molecule: ribosomal RNA, 253 nt
Filed under: uncultured bacterium
Lineage: Bacteria
Description: partial 16S ribosomal RNA
Rfam family: Bacterial small subunit ribosomal RNA
Source: RNAcentral
UACGUAGGGUCCGAGCGUUGUCCGGAAUUAUUGGGCGUAAAGGGCUCGUAGGCGGUUCGUCACGUCGGGAGUGAAAACUCGGGGCUUAACCCCGAGCCUGCUUCCGAUACGGGCAGACUAGAGGUAGGCAGGGGAGAGCGGAACUCCUGGUGUAGCGGUGGAAUGCGCAGAUAUCAGGAGGAACACCGAUGGCGAAGGCAGAUCUCUGGGCCGUAACUGACGCUGAGGAGCGAAAGCGUGGGGAGCGAACAGG